RNAcentral lists this ribosomal RNA (492 nucleotides) under uncultured bacterium. Its description in RNAcentral is "partial 16S ribosomal RNA". It matches the Rfam family "Bacterial small subunit ribosomal RNA", at positions 29 to 507 of the family's 1533-position model. The record is from RNAcentral.
AGUGAACGCUGGCGGUAGGCCUAACACAUGCAAGUCGAACGGCAGCACAGUAAGAGCUUGCUCUUACGGGUGGCGAGUGGCGGACGGGUGAGGAAUACAUCGGAAUCUACUUUUUCGUGGGGGAUAACGUAGUGAAACUUACGCUAAUACCGCAUACGACCUACGGGUGAAAGCAGGGGAUCUUCGGACCUUGCGCGAUUGAAUGAGCCGAUGUCGGAUUAGCUAGUUGGCGGGGUAAGGGCCCACCAAGGCGACGAUCCGUAGCUGGUCUGAGAGGAUGAUCAGCCACACUGGAACUGAGACACGGUCCAGACUCCUACGGGAGGCAGCAGUGGGGAAUAUUGGACAAUGGGCGCAAGCCUGAUCCAGCCAUACCGCGUGGGUGAAGAAGGCCUUCGGGUUGUAAAGCCCUUUUGUUGGGAAAGAAAAGCAGCAGGUUAAUACCCCGCUGUUCUGACGGUACCCAAAGAAUAAGCACCGGCUAACUUCGUG